CGAAGUAGAGCUUGAUUAGUUAAGCGUUUCAUUUACACUGAAGAGUUAUCUGUGCAAUUCAGUUUACUUUGA
Molecule: transfer RNA, 72 nt
Filed under: Neoperla ignacsiveci
Lineage: Eukaryota; Metazoa; Arthropoda; Insecta; Plecoptera; Perlidae
Description: tRNA-Val
Rfam family: tRNA
About the family: Transfer RNA (tRNA) molecules are approximately 80 nucleotides in length. Their secondary structure includes four short double-helical elements and three loops (D, anti-codon, and T loops).
Source: RNAcentral